GGGGGGGGGGGAGGAAGCCUCCGAUCGAUCGACCGGGAUCGGAAUCGGUGGGAGCGAUCCUUAGCGAGAUCAGGGAGCCUUGUUGAGACGAUUUGGGCGUGGUGUGGCGAUAGUUUCGAUUUGGUUGGUAUUUCCGAGGUUUUCCGGUGCUCGAUCUCGUAAAGGAGUUAGCAACUGGUCUAAAAAACUUCAGAUCAUUCGAUAAUCACCGCAUUUUCAAGUGAGAAUGUCGUAGGAAAUGCCAAGAAUGUAGGUUGCAUGGGUUUAAGACAACUGAGCAGUCUCUGGCUGAACUGCUUUGGCUGAGAUAAACAGGGCAAGUUGUUUCCUUUUGACUGCGAUUUUGACCUUAUUUCAAGAAUGAUUAGGGUGCGCAGCUUCAAUUUUCAAAUUCAUGGGCUGGACAGUUAUAUAUGACUUCCGGCCAGCCUUUGCUCUUGUCGUCAUCUUAUGCAGCAGAAUCAUCAAAAUCUCAACCAACCAUUAGUUCGUUUGGCUGUCUCUGCCCUUCCAGCUCGUUGUCUUCUCCCAAAUUUGAGUACUGCCACAGUCGUACUGUGAGCUUUGCUGAUGAAGAAGGAGAAGCCAUUUCUGUUGGAUAUAGCACCUGUUCUCAGAGAAAUAUAGAGAACUCAUUUUCAAGCAGGAGAACCAGUCGUUUCUUUUCGGCUGAUUCUCAAUUUUCUCAGCAUUUUGUACUGGAAUGCUCAGAAGAAGACGAAGAACAUACGCAGCUCGCAUACAGGGGUUCGAUGAAUCUACAGCGCUUUCCUUCUUCCCAUGAAAUUUCAAUGGCUUCAGUUGGGCAGGAGAAGCCGAACAAAUCUCAGCGGGUCCGCCACAAAAGUACACAGUUUGAAGAUCCAUUUACGUCAGAGGACAAUCCAAGAUUCAUAUAUAUUAAUGACCCAAGGAGGACAAAUGAUAAGUAUGAGUUUACAGGAAAUGAGAUACGGACAAGCAAAUAUACCUUGAUAACUUUUCUGCCAAAAAACCUAUUCAUUCAGUUUCACCGAUUAGCUUACUUGUAUUUCUUGGCCAUUGCUGCUUUAAAUCAGCUUCCUCCUUUGGCUGUAUUUGGGAGAACAGUCUCUUUGUUUCCCCUACUAUUUGUGCUCUUUGUAACUGCUAUUAAGGAUGGAUAUGAAGAUUGGCGGCGGCAUAGAUCUGAUAGGAAGGAAAACAAUCGAGAGGCCCUUGUCCUGCAAUCUGGCGAAUUUAGAAUGAAGAAAUGGAAAAAGAUAUGUGCUGGAGAGGUGGUGAAGAUUCAUUCUGAUGAAACAAUACCUUGUGAUAUGGUCCUUUUAGGGACCAGCGAUCCAAAUGGAAUAGCAUAUAUACAGACUAUGAAUUUAGACGGUGAGUCCAACCUAAAGACAAGAUAUGCUCGGCAGGAAACUGUUUCUAUGGUCACUGAAGGGGGUUCCUUCUCAGGGCUAAUAAGGUGUGAGCAGCCUAAUAGGAAUAUCUAUGAAUUUAUGGCCACCAUGGAGUUCAAUGGUCAGAGAAUUCCCCUCGGCCAGUCAAAUAUUGUUUUACGUGGCUGUCAGCUUAAGAACACAGAUUGGGUCAUCGGUGUUGUGGUUUAUGCUGGUCAGGAAACAAAAGCAAUGUUGAACAGUACAGCAUCGCCUUCUAAAAGAAGCAGGUUGGAGAGCUACAUGAACAGAGAAACCCUUUGGUUGUCAGUUUUUCUUUUUGUGAUGUGUGCGGUUGUGGCAACUGGAAUGGGGCUAUGGCUUGAAAUUCACGCUGAUCGGCUUGAUACUCUACCAUACUACAGAAAAAAGUACUUCACACAUGGCCGUGAGAAUGGGAAGGACUACAAAUACUACGGUCUUGCUAUGGAAAUAUUUUUUGCCUUUUUGAGCUCUGUUAUAAUCUUCCAAAUAAUGAUACCUAUAUCUUUAUACAUCACAAUGGAGCUGGUUCGGUUGGGGCAGUCAUAUUUUAUGAUUGAAGAUAGACGAAUGUAUGAUGGUACUUCGGAUUCAAGAUUUCAAUGCAGAUCUUUGAAUAUCAAUGAGGACUUGGGUCAGAUCAAGUACAUAUUCUCUGAUAAGACAGGGACAUUGACCGAAAAUAAAAUGGAAUUUCGGAGGGCUAGCAUUUAUGGGAGGGAUUAUGGGAAUUCCUUGCAUGUUACUGGCCAUCCAUCUGAUGAAACAGACACCUCAGGAUUACUUGGAGAACAGAGAAAGAAGCUCAAGUCUGAAAUUGAUGUUGACCCAGACCUGGUGUCACUAUUGCACAGAGACCUGGUUGAAGAGGAAAGACUUGCCGCUCAUGAUUUUUUCCUUACUUUGGCAGCUUGCAACACAGUUAUCCCAAUGAGUGCACGGAGUUCAUCUCCUACUUCAACAAGUGAAGUCCAUGAGGUAGAAGCGAUACAUUAUCAGGGCGAGUCUCCUGAUGAGCUAGCUUUGGUAAAUGCUGCUGCUGCUUAUGGAUACACUCUUCUUGAGAGGACGACCGGUCAUAUUGUUAUUGCUGUUAAUGGUGAGAGGAUGAGGUUAGAAGUUCUUGGUCUCCAUGAAUUUGAUAGCGUGAGAAAAAGAAUGUCUGUGGUCAUAAGGCUUCCUAAUAAUGCUGUAAAGGUUCUUGUGAAGGGUGCCGAUACAUCCAUGCUAAGUAUUCUCGACAAAAAGUGUGAUAAUACUAAUGGUAAUUCCUUACCUGCCAAAAUAAGACAUGCAACAGAGACCCAUCUCUAUGGUUAUUCGUCACAAGGCUUACGAACACUAGUAAUUGGUUCAAGGGAUCUGACUGAUGCCGAGUUUGCAGAAUGGCAGGAGAAGUAUGAAGAAGCUAGCACUUCUAUCACCGACAGGUCAGCGAAGUUACGCCAAACUGCUGCCCUAAUUGAGUGCAAUUUAAAUCUUCUUGGGGCUACUGGGAUUGAAGAUAAAUUACAAGAUGGUGUUCCUGAAACCAUUGAAUCUCUUAGGCAAGCAGGAAUUAAGGUUUGGGUUUUAACAGGUGAUAAGCAGGAGACUGCAAUAUCAAUAGGCCUCUCAUGCCGGCUGCUGACCCAAAGUAUGCAGCAAGUUAUUAUAAAUGGUACUUCCGAGGAUGAGUGCAGAUGCCUUUUACUUGAUGCUAAAGCCAGAUAUUGUAUAAAGUCUUCAGAGAAUGUAAAUGGAACUGUUAACCUGAAGAGUGACUUGAAUAGAGAAUAUCUUGACACUCCUAAGUUGAGUUCCAAUGGUUCAAUACAUGAAAAUGGUCUUAGAUAUAGUGGAGCAGCUGCUGAUACAGUUGAUACCCAACUUGCACUCAUAAUUGAUGGGACCAGUCUUGUCUAUAUAUUAGAGAAAGAUCUUGAGUCAGAGUUGUUUGAUCUGGCAACAUCUUGUGCGGUUGUGCUUUGUUGUCGUGUGGCUCCUUUGCAAAAAGCUGGAAUAGUUGAUCUGAUCAAAAGCAGGACCAAUGACAUGACUCUAGCAAUUGGAGAUGGAGCGAAUGAUGUUUCAAUGAUCCAGAUGGCUGAUGUUGGAGUGGGGAUAUGCGGCCAGGAAGGUCGGCAAGCUGUGAUGGCAUCAGAUUUUGCUAUGGGGCAGUUCCGUUUUUUGAAAAGAUUGCUUCUUGUACACGGGCACUGGAAUUACCAGCGCGUUGGCUAUUUGGUCCUGUACAACUUCUACCGCAAUGCUGUAUUUGUUCUAAUGCUCUUCUGGUAUAUCUUAUGCACCGCAUUUUCAGCAACUCAAGCUUUGACGGAUUGGAGCAGCGUCUUCUAUUCUGUAAUCUAUACAUCUGUGCCAACUAUUGUGGUUGGGAUUCUCGACAAAGAUUUAAGCCAUAAGACACUCCUCCAUUACCCAAAACUUUAUGAAGCCGGGCAUAGGCAGGAGAGCUAUAACCAGCAACUCUUUUGGAUUACAAUGCUCGAUACAUUGUGGCAAAGUCUUGUUCUGUUUUAUGUCCCUUUCUUCAUCUACAGAAACAGCACAAUUGAUAUAUGGAGUCUGGGUAGUUUAUGGACUCUUGCGGUAGUUGUUCUUGUCAAUGUUCAUUUGGCAAUGGAUAUCCGGCGUUGGGUAUUUAUUACUCAUGUUGCUAUAUGGGGUUCAAUUAUUAUUACUUUUAUGUGCAUGGUGAUCAUAGACUCCAUUCCUGUUUUCCCCAACUACUGGACAAUAUAUAAUCUUGCUAGUUCAAGGACUUACUGGCUCAGCAUUAUUCUUAUAGCAAUUAUAGCGUUGCUCCCUCGGUUUCUUUUCAAAGUUAUCUAUCAGAUAUUUUGGCCUUCUGAUAUUCAGAUAGCUAGGGAAGCUGAAAUUCUGAGGAAGCUACCCAAGCAAUUAGGUGUGAAGCCCAAUAAUGACAUCAGCUAACAACUGUGGUUUUUCUAGUACUUCAUUUCUGAGCUUCUUUCCAAUGGCUUCUCGGCGAAAAAAGGCGAUAUCGGUCUGCUGUUGGGGUAAAGUAGGAGGGGAGCUCAAACACUGCGACGGAAAAAAAGCCUCCAAGCCAUUCUUCUUUUUAUGUUCUCGAAGUGCUUCGGGGGCUUCCGCGAUCGCAAAACGUUUACUGUACAGAUAAAGACGGGAACAAAAACAUAAACACGAUGGAAUUCCUAAAGCUGGGGGAAAUAGUGGUGGGAAGAGAUUUAUGCAGUAAGAGUACAUAGUUUGCGCGGAUACUUCACAUGGUUUCUUCUUCUUCUUCUUCUUUAAUCUUCUCUUUACUUUCUUUUUUAUAUGUUCUCUCUUCUUGUACCAUUGAGUAAAUCUAUUCAGAUUUUAUUUGGUAAUUAGAGUUUUAACCUUUUUUCUUUUCCUUUCCUAUAUUCAAUAUAAAAAAGUAUAUGGUGGUUGAACAAUCCAUUCCACUCUA
This is an RNA transcript of Ananas comosus (pineapple), 4839 nucleotides long. It is a transcript of the gene named phospholipid-transporting ATPase 1-like, with no coding region annotated. The record is from RefSeq and is a predicted model, not a curated record. The transcript is spliced from 9 exons. NCBI's taxonomy places the organism in Eukaryota, Viridiplantae, Streptophyta, Magnoliopsida, Poales, Bromeliaceae.